This 342-nucleotide ribosomal RNA is filed under the name uncultured fungus. RNAcentral's name for it is "eukaryotic LSU rRNA". The stretch from base 1 to 71 matches the Rfam family "5.8S ribosomal RNA", at positions 84 to 154 of the family's 154-position model. Lineage: Eukaryota; Fungi. The record is from RNAcentral.
GUGAAUCAUCGAGUCUUUGAACGCAUAUUGCGCUCGAGACCUCGGUCAAGAGCAUGUCUGGCUCAGCGUCGUUUCACCCACUCGCCACCUUUUCCCUCUUCUCGAAGAGCGGACUAGGAAGGCGACCUGGCUUUCCCCGUGACUCUCGCGACGAACGGGGUCGGCUGAAGAACAGAGGCUUGAGCAUGGCGCCGCACAAUGGCAGCCGGCUUGGUAGGUGGCUCACGCUACAUGCCGCCGGAGGUCGCAGCGCCAUGUUGUAAGGCCCGCAGGAACCGACCUCUCGAGGUCGGACACUUAACCAUCGACCUGAGCUCAGGCAAGACUACCCGCUGAACUUAA